Molecule: long non-coding RNA, 286 nt
Filed under: Mytilus galloprovincialis (Mediterranean mussel)
Lineage: Eukaryota; Metazoa; Mollusca; Bivalvia; Mytilida; Mytilidae
Source: RNAcentral
UUACAUUUUAUCAGCCAUCUUUUACGGUUAUUGAGUAAAUCCGAUAACAAGCUAAGGUCAAAAUCUAGGUCAUGACCUUGACCUUUGAUCAAUUUUCAUGGUCACGUGAAUUGAUGAUCAUUGGUGAUGAUCCUAGGUGGCUACAACUUACGGUUUCUGAGUUUUAGUGGCCAACCGACAUUGGUUAAUUUUCAAAGGGGCAUAAAUAACCCUACCAAUGAGUGGUUGAAUCUUCUCGAUCCAAAUGUAACGAAGAACCAGGGUCUGUUCCUGAACAAAUUCCACC